This is a long non-coding RNA of Penaeus chinensis, 1085 nucleotides long. RefSeq lists it as uncharacterized. NCBI's taxonomy places the organism in Eukaryota, Metazoa, Arthropoda, Malacostraca, Decapoda, Penaeidae. The record is from RefSeq and is a predicted model, not a curated record. The transcript is spliced from 12 exons.
UGAUAAAAGAAAAUAUUAUUGAAGCAUGAAACUGAUGACACCAAAACAGGUUAUAGACUGAGUUUUGAUGAUAAACUCUCUCACUGAAGAACUAGUCAGCUUGUCUACUUCAGUGGUAAUGGAAGAGACUCAAAAGUUAUUUCUCUAUUUUCAGUUCUCGUGGGAGGGAAUGCAAUCAGUGUUGGAAAGGAAGCAGAUCUUGAGAAUUAGGAUUUUGUGUAGCUAAAACAUUUAGUACAUCCAUUAUAAUACUGGUUGUUUUGGAAGUUGCAUUAGGAGCAGCUUCUAUGAAAUGCAGAUCUCACAAAUGGGGCUCUGAGGAUUGAAGUCUGGCAAAAGUGAACAGUUAUUGCAGAAGAGAGAGUUUAUAUGUCAGUGUGGAGAAGAAUCUAGAUCAAAUUCAUCCAAAGAUAUGGGAUUAGUACAGUUGCAAGAGAAUUUUUCUGCAGGGUAAACCUUUUUGUUCAUGUAGAUCAUUUUAAGAAUGGUUGGUUUGAAAGUUCCUUUGGAAGCAGUUUGUAGAAAUGAAGCUGAUCCUAAGAAUUGGUGUCCUUGUAAGGAAGAAGUGAAGCCAUAGAAGACGAGAACAAGAAAUAGCCGAUGCUGCAAAUGGAUAGAGGUCAAGUUGAUCAUCUGGAUGGUAAUGCUGUUUUUGUCUUCAGUGUGGAAAUAAGUAAUUCCAGUAAGUUCAUUUUGCUUGAAAGGCAGUUUUAUGAACAUGAUAGAUGGAAAUGAAUAUAUGUGGGUUUGCUUUCGGAUUAAAUGAAAAGCACUAUUUUUAGUGAAGAGGAAGUAAGGACCUGCAAUGGAUUUGAGCACAAGGUUUAUUGGGAGAGCAGACUGGCAGUUGGUGGGAAUUUUGCAGCCUGUAAGCAAACAUGGUUCUGAUCGGCUGCUCUGUACUCGAGUAUCUCUUUACUCCUGCACAAAAUUAUUAAAUUUCUUUAGAUUUGUGGCAAAGUAACAUUUACUGUAAAUGGCUAGAAAAAAGUGUUUGGUAAUUCAUGAUAAAGCUGUUUAAAGAAAAUGUGAAAUACAGAAUGUAAUAUACUCUGGAAUGUGAAAUAAAUGAACCCCAAUAAAUA